AUGUGGUGUGUGUGUGUGUGUGUGUGUGUGUAUAGUAUAUAUCCCAGUUUUUUUGUGGUAAAAUUAGGUGCCUCGGCUUAUAUUCGGGUUGGCUUAUACUUGAGUAUAUACGGUGUGUGUGUGUGUGUGUGUGUGUGUGUGUGUGUGUGUGUGUAUAUAUAUAUAUAUAUAUAUAUAUAUAUAUAUAUAUAUAAAAUAAAUGAGAACCUGCAAAGAGUCAGAGUGGUAUGGCUUGACUAUAGGACAACUACACUGGAAGAGCAGGGUUUACAUACCCACUUUGCCAUGCAAACCCAUUGGGUAGCUUUGGCCUUAUCACACUCUCUCAGCCUAAAAGGAAGGCAAGGGCAAAUUCUGCCAAGAAAGACCAGUGAUAUGAUCACCUUUGGGUUACCACAAGUUAGAAAUGACUUAAAGGGACUCAAGAACAACCACACAACUUAUCAACAUGGCUUUACAACUGUUAUUUGGCAAAACUUGUAUAGCAAAGGUUUUUACAAAUAGAUUGCUGGUAGUAGGAAAUCUCUGCAAGUCCAAACCCUUGAUAUCAUACAGUGUGCACUCUCAAACUGAACUGGUAGGCACACAUUCACUAUGCAAGCAUGUAAAGUGUACCCCUCUACAAUUUGCAUGGAGCCCAAUAUUUCUGGGGAGCUGCCAUUGAGAAUUUUGAAGAGUUCAUAUACAUGAGAGGUAAUAAUGAGGGAAAGUAGAAAAUCUGAAAGAACAAAGAGAUUAAGAAGAGCAUAGGGGAAGGGUGACUAUUACAAAGAAUAUCUAAUGAAUACAGAGAAGGAUCAAACUUUAGCUAAUGUUCUCAGUGCACAAGUAAUUCAGCAAGAGCUUGGAAUUCAGGUAACAUCAAGAUGCAUUCCAAUCCCAACUUUUAGAAAUAGGCAAGCCUAUGUUAAUACGAUGUUGAAGGCUUUCAUGGCUGGAAUCACUAGGUUGUGGUGCAUUUUCUGGGCUGUAUGGCCAUGUUCCAGAAGCAUUCUCUCCUGACGUUUUGCCUACAUCUAUGGCAGGCAUCCUUAGAGGUUGUGAGGUAUAUUGGAAUACCAAGUAAGGGAGGUUUAUAUAUCUGUGGAAGGUAUAGGGUGGGAGAAAGAACUCUUGUAAUGGUGAAUGUUGUAAUUAGUCACCUUGAUUAGCAUUAAUGGCCUUGCCAGAUUCAUUCUUGCCUGGGGGAAUCCUUUGUUCAAAGGUGUUAGCUACUCCUGAUUGAUUAAUGUCUGUAAUUCCUCUGUUUUCAGAGUGUUCUUUAUUUACUGUUCUGAUUUUAGAGUUUUUUAAUACUGUAGCCAGAUUUUGUUCAUUUUCAUGGUUUCCUCCUUUCUGUUGAAAUUGUCCACAUGCUUGUGGAUUUCAGUGGCUUCUCUGUGUAGUCUGACAUGAUAGCUGUUAGAGUGGUCCAGCAUUUCUGUGUCCUCAAAUAUUAUGAUGUGCCCACGUUGGUUCAUCAAGUGCUCUACUAUGGCUGACUUCUCUAGUUGAGUUAGUCUGCAGCACCUUUCGUGUUCCUUGAUUUGUGUUCCUUGAUUCUAUGUUAAUAUAUUGUGUUCCAUCCCAUCCCAUCCUAUUUGUUUUGUUUGAAAUUAAAUUCAAUACUUUUAAAAUUGUUCCUAUGCCUUUCUUCCUACUUUGACUCUUCUUACUGAUGACAUUAUUUUCAGGAAAUGUUGAGAUUCAUUAGCAUCCUAGAGCCUGUAUUGUCAGACAUGAAGACAGCGGAUCUUCAUUAUUGUAGUUACAUCCGAAUAUAUCGCCUUCCAAAAACCAACUUUUCUAUCUAAGCAGAAUCCCAACUGGAGGGCUUCUAAAACACUACAUGAAAUGCUGGGAAAUGACAUCCAUAGUUCUCUCCCAGUCACGUGGCAUGUUGAAGAAAGACAGAUUAAGAGACAGAUAUGAUCUUGCUGCAAAUGCAUGUCUCAAUGUUUCCUGUGACAGGGGUCCUCCAGACAUCACUCCUUAGUGCUCCAAUCUACUAUGCCUUGGAAGCUCUUCAGUUGAGACACUGCCUGGCAACAGUAAUAUUCAACUUUAAACACGAACUCUAAAAGCUAUGAGACUGUAAAUCUGGUUUACAAUGCUGUAACUACUACUACUACUACUACUACUAAUAAUAAUAAUAAUAAUAAUACUGAAAGAAAAUUGCACAGACAGACUACAAACAGA
This 2178-nucleotide long non-coding RNA is filed under the name Anolis carolinensis (green anole). RNAcentral's name for it is "lncRNA (ENSACAG00000037764.1)". Lineage: Eukaryota; Metazoa; Chordata; Lepidosauria; Squamata; Anolidae. The record is from RNAcentral.